GAUGAACGCUGGCGGCGUGCCUAAUACAUGCAAGUCGAGCGGACAGACGAGGAGCUUGCUCCUCUGACGUUAGCGGCGGACGGGUGAGUAACACGUGGAUAACCUACCUAUAAGACUGGGAUAACUUCGGGAAACCGGAGCUAAUACCGGAUAAUAUAUUGAACCGCAUGGUUCAAUAGUGAAAGACGGUUUUGCUGUCACUUAUAGAUGGAUCCGCGCCGCAUUAGCUAGUUGGUAAGGUAACGGCUUACCAAGGCAACGAUGCGUAGCCGACCUGAGAGGGUGAUCGGCCACACUGGAACUGAGACACGGUCCAGACUCCUACGGGAGGCAGCAGUAGGGAAUCUUCCGCAAUGGGCGAAAGCCUGACGGAGCAACGCCGCGUGAGUGAUGAAGGUCUUCGGAUCGUAAAACUCUGUUAUUAGGGAAGAACAAAUGUGUAAGUAACUAUGCACGUCUUGACGGAACCUAAUCAGAAAGCCACGGCUAACUACGUG
This 497-nucleotide ribosomal RNA is filed under the name uncultured bacterium. Its description in RNAcentral is "partial 16S ribosomal RNA". It matches the Rfam family "Bacterial small subunit ribosomal RNA", at positions 28 to 507 of the family's 1533-position model. The record is from RNAcentral.